AGCCUCAAAGGAUCGAAGCUAGUGGCUAGAAGUGAACGCCAAGGAACGUUGCAGGACGCAGCAGCAUCAGGACGAUGACCAAGGAAGCGGUAACACAUGAAGGCGACGGGAAUAAACUCCCGUCGCUUUUUU
This 132-nucleotide small RNA is filed under the name Azomonas macrocytogenes. Lineage: Bacteria; Pseudomonadati; Pseudomonadota; Gammaproteobacteria; Pseudomonadales; Pseudomonadaceae. The record is from RNAcentral.